This 690-nucleotide ribosomal RNA is filed under the name uncultured bacterium. Its description in RNAcentral is "bacterial SSU rRNA". It matches the Rfam family "Bacterial small subunit ribosomal RNA", at positions 94 to 801 of the family's 1533-position model. The record is from RNAcentral.
AGUAGCGGAAGGGUGAGGAACGCGUGAGUAAUCUGCCCCCCAGUUGGGAAUAACAGUUGGAAACGACUGCUAAUACCGAAUGUGGCUUGAGCUUCGCCUGGAGCUCUGGCUAAAGAUUUAUCGCUGGGGGAUGAGCUCGCGUCCCAUUAGGUAGUUGGUGAGGUAACGGCUCACCAAGCCGACGAUGGGUAGCUGGUCUGAGAGGAUGGUCAGCCACACUGGGACUGAGACACUGCCCAGACUCCUACGGGAGGCUGCAGUCGAGAAUCUUGGGCAAUGCGCGAAAGCGUGACCCAGCAAUGCCGCGUGUAUGAUGAAGGCCCUCGGGUCGUAAAGUACUGUCUCCCGUGACGAAAUUUGACGGUAACGGGGAAGGAAGCCACGGCUAACUACGUGCCAGCAGCCGCGGUAAUACGUAGGUGGCGAGCGUUGUUCGGAUUUAUUGGGCGUAAAGGGUCUGUAGGAGGUUUGUUAAAUACGGGGUGAAAUCCCGAAGCUCAACUUCGGAAUUGCCUUGUAGACUGACGAACUGGAGUACCGGAGAGGUAAGCGGAAUACCAGGUGUAGCGGUGGAAUGCGUAGAUAUCUGGUAGAACACCAAAAGCGAAGGCAGCUUGCUGGACGGAAACUGACUCUGAAAGACGAAAGCAUGGGGAGCAAACAGGAUUAGAUACCCUGGUAGUCCAUGCC